GCUGUAAGGCAUCCGGUGGAGAGAUCAGAAGCGAGAAUGUUGACAUGAGUAGCGAUAAAGAGGGUGAGAGACCCUCUCGCCGAAAAUCCAAGGGUUCCUGCUUAAAGCUAAUCUGAGCAGGGUGAGCCGGCCCCUAAGGCGAGGCCGAAAGGCGUAGUCGAUGGGAACUAGGUUAAUAUUCCUAGGCCAGGAGGAAGUGACGGAUCUCGAAGAUUGUCUGCCCUUAUCGGAUUGGGUGGGCCGUUUAGAGGUUCCAGGAAAUAGCCCUCCAUCAGACCGUACCCUAAACCGACACAGGUGGAUUGGUAGAGUAUACCAAGGCGCUUGAGAGAACCGCAUUUAAGGAACUCGGCAAAAUGCCUCCGUAAGUUCGCGAGAAGGAGGCCCUGUCUGUAGGCAACUAUAGGCAGGGGGCACAAACUAGGGGGUGGCGACUGUUUACUUAAAACACAGGGCUGUGCGAAGCCGUAAGGCGACGUAUACAGUCUGACGCCUGCCCGGUGCUGGAAGGUUAAAAGGAGGGGUGCAAGCUCUGAAUUGAAGCCCCAGUAAACGGCGGCCGUAACUAUAACGGUCCUAAGGUAGCGAAAUUCCUUGUCGGGUAAGUUCCGACCUGCACGAAUGGCGUAACGAUCUCCCCGCUGUCUCAAAUGCGGACUCAGCGAAAUUGAACUGUGUGUCAAGAUGCACACUACCCGCGGUUAGACGGAAAGACCCCAUGCACCUUUACUCCAGCUUUGCACUGGUAUCAGGAUUGUGAUGUGCAGGAUAGGUGGUAGGCAUUGAAGCGGGGACGCUAGUCUUCGUGGAGCCUCCCUUGAGAUACCACCCUUCGCACUCUUGAUGUCUAACCGCGGCCCGUUAUCCGGGUCCGGGACCCUGCAUGGUGGGGAGUUUGACUGGGGCGGUCGCCUCCUAAACAGUAACGGAGGCGCGCGAUGGUAGGCUCAGACCGGUCGGAAAUCGGUCGUUGAGUGCAAUGGCAGAAGCCUGCCUGACUGCAAGUCUGACAAGACGAGCAGAGACGAAAGUCGGUCAUAGUGAUCCGGUGGUCCCAAGUGGGAGGGCCAUCGCUCAACGGAUAAAAGGUACGCUGGGGAUAACAGGCUGAUGAUGCCCAAGAGUCCAUAUCGACGGCAUCGUUUGGCACCUCGAUGUCGGCUCAUCUCAUCCUGGGGCUGGAGCAGGUCCCAAG
Molecule: ribosomal RNA, 1195 nt
Filed under: marine metagenome
Description: bacterial LSU rRNA
Rfam family: Bacterial large subunit ribosomal RNA
Source: RNAcentral